GGGUCAGUAGGUUGGUCGUGCCACCGGUACGUACUGGUCUCACUGAUUCCUCCUUCCUGAAGAACCGUAAUGCCAUUAAUUUGGUGUUGCGGGGAAACAGGACUGUUACUUCGAAAAAAUUAGAGUGUUUAAAGCAAGCGAACGCUUGAAUACAUUAGCAUGGAAUAAUGAAAUAGGACGAUCGAUCCUAUUUUGUUGGUUUCUAGGAUUGACGUA
This 216-nucleotide ribosomal RNA is filed under the name Glomeromycotina sp. RNAcentral describes it as "partial small subunit ribosomal RNA". The stretch from base 40 to 216 matches the Rfam family "Eukaryotic small subunit ribosomal RNA", at positions 686 to 864 of the family's 1831-position model. The record is from RNAcentral. Lineage: Eukaryota; Fungi; Glomeromycota.